GAAAUGCGAUAAGUAAUGCGAAUUGCAGAAUUCCGUGAGUCAUCGAAUCUUUGAACGCACAUUGCGCCCUUUGGUAUUCCGAAGGGCAUGCCUGUUCGAGCGUCAUUAUCCACCUCUCAAGCCUGGCUUGUUAUUGGGUCUCCUCAUCAUCACAGAUGGGCCCGAAAGAUAAUGGCGGCGUCGUCCUCGACCCCCGGUGCAGCGAGCUUACAGCAUACACUGAGGCGGGCGUGGGCGAGCUGGCCUUGAUCGUCUGAGCGGGUUCGUCCCCCUCAAACACUUUUAUCAGGUUGACCUCGGAUCAGGUAGGAAUACCCGCUGAACUUAA
RNAcentral lists this unclassified non-coding RNA (328 nucleotides) under uncultured Phaeomoniella. RNAcentral's name for it is "sequence contains ITS1". The stretch from base 1 to 105 matches the Rfam family "5.8S ribosomal RNA", at positions 50 to 154 of the family's 154-position model. The record is from RNAcentral. Lineage: Eukaryota; Fungi; Ascomycota; Eurotiomycetes; Phaeomoniellales.